Suricata suricatta (meerkat) is the source of this 499-nucleotide long non-coding RNA. RefSeq lists it as uncharacterized. The record is from RefSeq and is a predicted model, not a curated record. The transcript is spliced from 3 exons. Lineage: Eukaryota; Metazoa; Chordata; Mammalia; Carnivora; Herpestidae.
UUCAUUUUGGACGUUGCCUUUCGUUGACUUUGCAAUGAGCACGGUGCUUCGGAGGAGGAACAAAGCCAGGCUUUUCUCCUACAGGACCAGCCGUGUCACGUUCGGGUCAACAAAUUAAGAAGAAGUUGAAAGCCAAGGUGGAGGAGGCUCGGACCCCACGCUUCAGUCUAGGACUGUGUUCAUUUAAAGCAGGUGACGCUGAUGCCACCGGUCCAGGGACCACGUGCGGAAACGACAGCGCCCCCCACACAUCACCGAAAACAACGGGAUCACCCUGAACGGCCAUCAACACCAGCAAGCAGCACACCUGGGCAGCGGAAAACUACUUACCAAUCAGAAGGAACAAACUCCUGACACGCACAACAACUUGGAUGAAUCUCAAAAUAAUGAUGCUGAGUGGGACGCCUGGGUGGCCCCGUCGGUUCGUGAGUUCGUGAACCUUUCGGUUCGUGGGUUCGAGCCCCGCGUCGGGCUCUGUGCUGACAGCUCAGAGCCUGGA